UGCCAGCAGCCGCGGUAAUACGGAGGGGGUUAGCGUUGUUCGGAAUUACUGGGCGUAAAGCGUACGUAGGCGGAUUAAUAAGUUAAAAGUCGAUGGUUAGAGCCUAACUCUUUCAUGCUUUUAAUACUGUCAGACUAGAGUAUAUUAGAGGAUAGUAGAAUUCACAGAGGAGGGGUAAAAUCCAGUAAUUUUGUGAGGAACACCAAAUGCGAAGGCAACUAUCUGGAAUAUUACUGACGCUGGAAGACGAAGGCAUAGGUAGCAAAUGGGAUUAGAUA
Molecule: ribosomal RNA, 278 nt
Filed under: uncultured bacterium
Lineage: Bacteria
Description: partial 16S ribosomal RNA
Rfam family: Bacterial small subunit ribosomal RNA
Source: RNAcentral